GACGAACGCUGGCGGCGUGCCUAAUACAUGCAAGUCGAACGCUUUUUCUUUCACCGGAGCUUGCUCCACCGAAAGAAAAAGAGUGGCGAACGGGUGAGUAACACGUGGGUAACCUGCCCAUCAGAAGGGGAUAACACUUGGAAACAGGUGCUAAUACCGUAUAACACUAUUUUCCGCAUGGAAGAAAGUUGAAAGGCGCUUUUGCGUCACUGAUGGAUGGACCCGCGGUGCAUUAGCUAGUUGGUGAGGUAACGGCUCACCAAGGCAACGAUGCAUAGCCGACCUGAGAGGGUGAUCGGCCACACUGGGACUGAGACACGGCCCAGACUCCUACGGGAGGCAGCAGUAGGGAAUCUUCGGCAAUGGACGAAAGUCUGACCGAGCAACGCCGCGUGAGUGAAGAAAGGUUUUCGGAUCGUAAAAACUCUGUUGUUAGAGAAAGAAACAAAGGAUGAAGAAGUAGA
RNAcentral lists this ribosomal RNA (464 nucleotides) under Enterococcus casseliflavus. RNAcentral describes it as "bacterial SSU rRNA". It matches the Rfam family "Bacterial small subunit ribosomal RNA", at positions 28 to 472 of the family's 1533-position model. Lineage: Bacteria; Bacillati; Bacillota; Bacilli; Lactobacillales; Enterococcaceae. The record is from RNAcentral.